AAAUUGUUGAAAGGGAAGCGCUUGUGACCAGACUUGCGCCGGGCGGCUCAUCAGGGGUUCUCCCCUGUGCACUCCGCCCGGCUCAGGCCAGCAUCGGUUCUCGUGGGGGGAUAAGAACGGUGGGAACGUGGCCCCCCUCCGGGGGGGUGUUAUAGCCCGCCGUACGAUACCCUCGUGGGGACCGAGGUUCGCGCUCCGCAAGGAUGCUGGCGUAAUGGUCAUCAGCGACCCGUCUUGAAACACGGACCAAGGAGUCGUCCAUUAGAGCGAGCGUUUGGGUGUAAAACCCGCACGCGUAAUGAAAGUGAACGCAGGUGAGAGCUUCGGCGCAUCAUCGACCGAUCCUGAUGUCUUCGGAUGGAUUUGAGUAAGAGUUUUAACGGACGGACCCGAAAGACAGUGAACUAUGCUUGUAUAGGGUGAAGCCAGAGGAAACUCUGGUGGAGGCUCGCAGCGGUUCUGACGUGCAAAUCGAU
RNAcentral lists this ribosomal RNA (476 nucleotides) under Cytospora sp. RNAcentral's name for it is "partial large subunit ribosomal RNA". It matches the Rfam family "Eukaryotic large subunit ribosomal RNA", at positions 402 to 902 of the family's 3401-position model. Lineage: Eukaryota; Fungi; Ascomycota; Sordariomycetes; Diaporthales; Cytosporaceae. The record is from RNAcentral.